GAUGAAGAACGCAGCGGAAUGCGAUAAGUAAUGUGAAUUGCAGAAUUCAGUGAAUCAUCGAAUCUUUGAACGCACAUUGCGCCCAUUAGUAUUCUAGUGGGCAUGCCUGUUCGAGCGUCAUUUCAACCCUUAAGCCUCUGUUGCUUAGCGUUGGGAGCCUACCUACCCGGUAGAUCCUCAAAGUUAGCUGGCAGGGUCGAGGUUCGCCCUAAGCGUAGUAGUUCUUUCUCGCUUCUGCGGCUGCCUAGGCCAUCGCCACAAGCCUUUUAAACUUCAAUGGUUGACCUCGGAUCAGGUAGGAAUACCCGCUGAACUUAAGCAUAUCAAUAAGCGGAGGA
Molecule: unclassified non-coding RNA, 338 nt
Filed under: soil metagenome
Description: partial contains 5.8S ribosomal RNA, internal transcribed spacer 2, and large subunit ribosomal RNA
Rfam family: 5.8S ribosomal RNA (bases 1-120)
Source: RNAcentral